Molecule: long non-coding RNA, 1237 nt
Filed under: Phaseolus vulgaris (common bean)
Lineage: Eukaryota; Viridiplantae; Streptophyta; Magnoliopsida; Fabales; Fabaceae
Description: long non-coding RNA (PVUL_LNC000358)
Source: RNAcentral
AUGAAUGCCGAUGAAGUGGUGAUUAUCAACUCCUGCAGAUACCAUAAGGGCUGUCAACUUAGCGGCAAUACACACAGAAAAAUGGGAUAGAUACUAACUAAGGUUAGCAUUCAACAACCAAAAAAUAUUCAAAUAAAACUAGUUGCAAGAGAGGUGUGCAUCUUAUUUCCAGAGUAAAUAAAAAACCAAUGUAUGCCAUAAAAUGUGUCAUUGAAGAAAUAGUUUGUGUUAUGAGACAGACAAAAAACCAGACUCAUCCCACCAUCACUCGUAGACUAAGUUGCAUGAUACGUGUAAAUUUAGUUUAAAUGACAAUAUUGGUCUUUCAAAGAUGAUACCAACACACACUGGUCCUCAAUUUAUAAAUACAUCAAAUCAAUAACAUGAUCAAAUUGGUUUUAAAUUUUCACAUUUUAUCAUCAAAUUGUUUUUUUUAAGGAAAACCAAUGCCAUUAAUUAUCAUCAAAGCAACAAUCUUUGGAGAACCAAUCUAACCUCACAUAUAUCUUUAGAGGACCAAAAUGAAUGUUAAUUAUAUAGAUAAUGAAAAACAGAACAUCAUGGAAAUUUUAUAUUGUAAAGUAUAAACUAACACUUGAAUUACAAUCGACCAUAAUGAAUUCACGAAAUAUUAGUUAAUACCUUUAAGUGUUCAAGGGGAAAAGUUCCUAAUAUUGCCUCUGUGCUUCGUAAAUUUUAUUUUAUAACCCUAUCUAAAUUCAUAUGUUAUUUAAGAAACAUGGCCACUGAACUAGCUAUCCUUAUCCUAGUUCACAACUAUUUCAUACUUCCAUAGCAACCCAUCCCUUCCCAAAAAAAUAAAAUAACCCUUUAUAUCCAGUGAAUAUUGAAAGCAUCAAACACAUCCAAAACUAAAUUAACAAAAAUAGCUUCAACCUUAAAUGGAACUUAAACAAUAACUACACAACAAAAUAGAUUCCCCUACAUUACCUUAAAUGAUCCAAAAGUUACGCCCUUUUUCCGAUUAGUCAACUGAGCCAUCAUGAGUUUGUCAUAUGCCUUUUCCAGAUGAAUUAUACAUUCACAGCGCACAACAUCCCACACAUUAGUGCAUUAAAAUUUGACCUCUUAAAACAUGUCAUGUGUCAGUAUCACAAUACCAAUUUUAAUGUUUUGCCAAUUUCAAUUUUCAUCAUAACAUCUAUUUUGUCAAUUAGAAGUUUGGAUGGCCAGGUCCUAAAAAUUAGCAAAGCUAUAAUAACUAACUAGUUACAUA